CAAGAUUACGUCCAGCAAUAUCUGAAACUGCGAACUGGAUUAGCGAAAUGCAAGUGGAGUCGCGCAGUGGAGCUUUCUAUGCUGGGGACUUCGAGCGAUGAGGACGCCUCUUUGCGGAAUGAUUUUUUGGCAUCUCUUCGACGAGUUAUUCGAGACAACGUGGCAGAUAUCGAUGUCCGCCUUGAGAGCUGAAAUAGCUCAAAUGGCUCAAAGGAGCGAGCAAUUGUCGACGCGGGAACCCCAUCGUACAAUCGUCGAUUUAUGGGCAGUGAAACUGGCCCGCCAUCUACCGGAGAGUCGGCGACACUAAUCCACCACCU
Molecule: long non-coding RNA, 320 nt
Organism: Orussus abietinus
Lineage: Eukaryota; Metazoa; Arthropoda; Insecta; Hymenoptera; Orussidae
Exons: 3
Source: RefSeq, a predicted model, not a curated record